Molecule: long non-coding RNA, 951 nt
Filed under: Equus asinus (donkey)
Lineage: Eukaryota; Metazoa; Chordata; Mammalia; Perissodactyla; Equidae
Description: lncRNA (ENSEASG00005035974.1)
Source: RNAcentral
CUUUACAUGGCACCGUAGCCCCCUUUUUAUCUCCUCCCUUGGGAAAAGCCACAUCUAAUAUUUCUGUUGCUGUACCCACUGAGUUCUCAAUAUCUUCUCCCUAAACACAAAAAACAUUUUCCACUUCCCUGGUCCAAAGAAGGGAAGAGACAAAUUGCUACAGAGUUGGAAUCAACCCGCUGAUCUGAAAUCCUCAGAAGACUCAUUUGGGCUGGAGAAGGAGCAAUCCGCAGGAAAUUUCAGCCCUAAUUUUCGCGAAACCCGCAGACACUCUCAGCCUUGCUCAGGCCCAGUAGGAGGCCCUUUGUCUCCGCCCUCAUCCAAUCAGCGUCCAGCGUCUCUUCCCUCCAGCCAAUCAGCAUCGCUGGGAGCAACCUAUAUCCUAAUUUGCCCUCGUCCCUUGACAUUCAGUGGGCGGUGCCGCGCGCUGCGGCCAAUCACACCCGACCGUGACCGGCCAGUGCCCUCUGUGAUGGCAUGUGGGCGGGCUGCGACGGUCUGUAAGAGAUGCAGGACUGUGCUCUGCUGUGGCUAGCCGCGCCACUCCCGUCGCGUUUGUGUUCUUCGGCUGCAGAUUCAGAGGAAGCCGGCAACCAAGAGAUUCGCCAGCCGGAAUGUUGCAGCAGCAGGGGUGCUCUCCGCGGUUGCGGCCGUGGGCACGGCGGAGUACGCGACUCUGGCUGCAGGGCAACAUUAUGCUCCAGGUUCUGAAGGAACAGCUGCCCAGCGACGCCGUCGUCAUGCUGCACGUGGUGGAGCGGGACCUCUUUGACCACAUCGUGCGCGAGGCGACCCAGCUUAGGCGGGAGAGCGCUGAUGAGCGCGAAAUGGAAAAGCCAAUUCUCAAAUGCAUCUGGAAUUGCAAAGGCCCUCAAAUAGCCAAAAUAAUCUUGAAGAAAAAGAACAAAGUUGGGGGAAUCACAUGUCCUGAUUUCAAAACUUACUACAAAG